RNAcentral lists this small RNA (126 nucleotides) under Marmota monax (woodchuck). Lineage: Eukaryota; Metazoa; Chordata; Mammalia; Rodentia; Sciuridae. The record is from RNAcentral.
GCUGGACGCGGUGGCGCAUGCCUGUAAUCCCAGUGGCUCGGGAGGCUGAGGCAGGAGGAUUAAAAGUUUGAGGCCAGCCUCAGCUAUUUAGAGAGGCCUCAGCAACUUAGCAAAACCCUAUCUCUA